RNAcentral lists this non-coding RNA (256 nucleotides) under Eubacterium ventriosum. Its description in RNAcentral is "T-box sequence". It matches the Rfam family "T-box leader". Rfam says of the family: Uncharged tRNA acts as the effector for transcription antitermination of genes in the T-box leader family. T-boxes are found upstream of many aminoacyl-tRNA synthetase genes and some amino acid biosynthetic genes usually in Gram-positive bacteria. The record is from RNAcentral. Lineage: Bacteria; Bacillati; Bacillota; Clostridia; Eubacteriales; Eubacteriaceae.
AUUAAACCGUUGAUCGGGAGUAAGUAGUUACAAGAGAUGUUUUUCAGAGAGUUGUCGGUUGGUGUGAGACAAUAAACUAUCAGUAAUGAAUGGACCUGAGAGGGCAGCUUGAAACCAAUAUGAUAAUCAUAGGAAGUAGACGCUGACGGAUCCUUACCGUUAUAGAAGGUAGCAUAUGAUGGUAUGCAAUGAGUGAAUGUGUUAUACAUUAAUUUGGGUGGCACCGCAGAAGUUUAUUAUAGCUUUUGUCCCUUUA